Molecule: long non-coding RNA, 798 nt
Filed under: Mus musculus (house mouse)
Lineage: Eukaryota; Metazoa; Chordata; Mammalia; Rodentia; Muridae
Description: POU domain, class 3, transcription factor 3 adjacent noncoding transcript 1
Source: RNAcentral
AUCUGGGAAACCUGCAGCCCUGUACCAGCGCGGGGCCCGCGCGUGCGAGUCCGACCGCUUGCUGCGGCUGCUCGCUCUCCAACCCCCCCUCCCUCCUUUCCUCCCUCCCACCCACCCUCCUCUGGGAUUCUUGCAAGUAUCGUGCGUGCCCUUGUGAGUUUGGAGGGUGCCGGUCAACGAAGCCACGCGAGGUAUUUGAAAGGCAAUCAGCCCGACCGUCCCCCUAGAUUCAUCGUUUUGCGAGGUGGCUGUGACCGCUGUCGACAAGUGCUUUCUCAGCCGCAACCCAGCUGAAAGAGUUAAGGGGCCCGGGAGGAGGAGUGCGCCCGGGAGAAGGAACUCAGUGAAUAUUGCCCUGGGUCCUGGUAAUUCCACCUACUGAAGACAACUGCCCCUUCUGCUCAUAUUUCCUGAGUCAACAUGGCCGUUCCUAACUUUGAAGAGACUUUAGACAUUCUUUGUUACAAUGAACCUAGAAGAAAGAAGAGAAAUAUUACAGCGACUGUGCCCGGGACUGUAAGGCGGAUAAGACCCAGCAGAAUAACUGCCAUGGAAGGAUGCUCCUCCUGCCAAUUGGCACUUAUCAAUGACAUCGAGGGAGAGGGACAGAGUGCCUAGGUAUGAGCCUUCAUCAAGUGGUAUGAAGGCCCUACCCCAACAGAAAGUGCUGAUGUGAUGAAAUGGUGCUUUGGACAAGACUUUUCCUCCAAGUUGGUCCUAUCCAGGGGUUGGCAAACAGGGUCCCUGGACAUCAUCCAUGUGGCAUACUCUUAUGAAUAAAGUUCUAUAGGACACAGA